RNAcentral lists this ribosomal RNA (809 nucleotides) under Hepatozoon felis. Its description in RNAcentral is "bacterial SSU rRNA". It matches the Rfam family "Eukaryotic small subunit ribosomal RNA", at positions 188 to 984 of the family's 1831-position model. Lineage: Eukaryota; Apicomplexa; Hepatozoidae. The record is from RNAcentral.
UAUUUUGGAAGAGAUGCAUUUAUUAGAUAAAAAACCAAUACAUACUUUUUCAAGUAUGAAAUUUGGUGAUUUACAAUAACUUAGCAAAUCGCAUAGUGAAAACAGGCGAUAAAUCAUUCAAGUUUCUGACCUAUCAACUUUCGACGGUAUGGUAUUGGCUUACCGUGGCAGUGACGGUUAACGGGGGAUUAGGGUUCGAUUCCGUAGAGGGAGCCUGAGAAACGGCUACCACAUCUAAGGAAGGCAGCAGGCGCGCAAAUUACCCAAUUCUAACAGCAUAAGAGAGGUAGUGACAAGAAAUAACAAUACAAGGCAGUUAAAAUGCUUUGUAAUUGGAAUGAUAGAAAUUUAAACACUUUUUAAAGUAUCAAUUGGAGGGCAAGUCUGGUGCCAGCAGCCGCGGUAAUUCCAGCUCCAAUAGCGUAUAUUAAAAUUGUUGCAGUUAAAAAGCUCGUAGUUGAAUUUCUGUUAAAAAUAACCGGUCUGCUUUUAAUAAAAGUGGUAUCUUGGUGUGUUUUUAGCAAUAAUGUCCUUUGAAAUGUUUUUUACUUUAUCGUAAUAAAUAAUAUUCAGGAUUUUUACUUUGAGAAAAUUAGAGUGUUUCUAGCAGGCUAACGCUUUGAAUACUGCAGCAUGGAAUAAUAAAAUAGGAUUUUAGUUCUACAUUAUUGGUUUUAAGAACUAAAUUAAUGAUUGAUAGGGACAGUUGGGGGCAUUUGUAUUUAACUGUCAGAGGUGAAAUUCUUAGAUUUGUUAAAGACAAACUACUGCGAAAGCAUUUGCCAAAGAUGUUUUCAUUAAUCAAGAAC